UCUUUUGUUGUACUUAUUGUUUUUAAUGUGAGAUUAUGAUUUAUGUAUCUUUACUUCAACGAUAAACAUAAGCCAUAAAAAAAUAGACUGAGCUUGAGCCUGAUGUGAAAGACGUGCUAGAGAGAAUUUCAGAACAUAUCCAAGCCAAGGUAUCAAACUGUAGCAAAGAGAAAAAUGCUAAUUAUUUUUUGGGGAUAAAAAAUGUUGAAUGCUUUUAUUUAACAUGUGCUUUGCUUUCAGGAUGAUGCUAUGCUAAAAUGUAAGGUAUCUCCUCAACUAAAAUUUUCUACAUAUUACUACCUAAGCUAUAAUUUCAGCUGAAAGGGCCUCACUUUAGGUUUUUGUCCUCUACUGUCAAUAAACUAAUUUAUACAGCUAACAUGGUCGGUAAUAAUAAAACACAGUCUAGUAGAUGGAGAAUUUGCAAAUAAGUAAUUAAAACAUCAUUAUUUAAGAAUUAUUUGUGUAUUUUGUUACUUAAAUUAAUAUGUUAGGGGAUUUUAUACCUUCUUUGAUUUGACCUAGUGGAGGAUUUGGGGGACCUGAAUGGACACACAUAGUCGAGUGAAAUUUGAUUUUUUGCAAUUUAUACAGGUUUCCUUACUCUUGUGGAUAUGAACUCUUCUACUUUCGUCGUAGAUUCAAGGAAGCUUCUGUGGAUUUCUAGGUUUUCUUUCCUUCACUUGUUGUUGGGUGAUUUUUCGUUUUAGUCCAAGGAACCGGAACCAUCUUGUUAUGAGAAAUAAUUGAUUUUUAUUUUCCACAUUAACUGGACACUUCGAUGAUAAGUUUUUUACCUUUUCCAGAUGUUGUACUAGCUACAAAUGUUCGGGAUUUAUUCAAGGUCUAUAGCAGUAACUAGUAGAUGCCCACCAUUAUACUAAAAACAAGACCCCUUUGAAAAUUUCUAGUUUUAUGAUGAGCUGUCUUCAAGGUUUAUGUGUAAAUGUAUGGAUUAAUUGAAAUUAGAUAAGUAUGUUUUGCUACUUGGUAUGAGUAUGCAAUUGAACUUCUUAACUCUAUUGUUGCAAGUCCUCGUGCCUCUCUUGCCAUUUCCUUUAUAUUCUGAUUUUUUGAUUUUAAAUAAGUCAUCUACUUCAGGAAGAAAAUUAUAGGCUGAAUGCAGACUUCAAAGAGCGAAAUGCCUACGUUGAGAGCUGCAGAGCUGAAAUCGUUAUUUUCUAGUCUCAUGAAGGAUUCAAUAGUCAUAAAGCAUAGAGAAACAAGCUACAAGAAGCAUGUAUCCUUUUCUCUUUCUAUUUUGGUCAGGCUUAUUGAAAGGGCAUAGUUUGACUAGACUUUUCUGCUUUUGUAGAUCAUGGUGAAAAAGAAAAGUGAACUUAUUGUUGAAUUUGAUAAGCUAAGACCACAAGUGUUCUUAUUCCUCUGUCGUUGGGUCCUAUUUAUAGGAAAAAUCUCUUGUAGAUGUCACUAAUCAAAUAGUGAGCUUAAAGCCACUGUGACCACGAAACAAGGUGAGGUGGGCACAGAGCUCAUUGAUCACUUAACACCACAGGAAAAACAUGAACUAUCCCAGCUGAACUAAGAAAUAAAAGAUCUUAAAGAGGAGCUUAUUAAAUUUAGAACAGAUCGCAUCGAGGUAAGAUAUCUCAACCUUGUGAGAAGCAACUGUACUUAUCCUUAACAGGUAUUUGUUCUGUUUCACAUGAAGCUUUUGUGGCCUUCCAAGCUACUUCCAUAUUUAUGAUCUGCUUUCUGAUAGGCCUCUUGCUUGCUGUCAUGCAUGCCUAUAUGCUAAUGGGUGUAUGGUAAUACAUUGCCCCAAAAGUUUCUGUAUAUUUGUUGCUAAUUGAGGUGGGUGACUUUUUGGAAGAAAAUAGUUUAUUAUCGUUUAUUAUUGCCACCUGUUGCACUAGAGGUGAUAGAUUGAUGUUGCACUGAUGUGUCUUGGCCUCAAACCCUAGAAAAAUAAUAUUACUUGUCACUGAAAAAUGAGUAAAUAAAAAGAAACGAAUUAUUCCUCAUGCUUUUACAAUGUCUAUCUGCUAUUUGUGAUUUAUUAAGAUACAUUUUGAGUAUUAACAUUAGUUUUUGUUACUAUGAAGGCAAAGGUGAUGGUACAAAUGCAGAAUCUGGAGCACAUGAAGAAGAUUUUCUCAUCCAGGAUGAGAUUUCUAAAUCUUGUCUAGUGAACGUGUAGCGUGUAAGUCAUUCUUUAUGGAGAUGCUGCAUUUUGCAAGUAUUGCAAAAGUUGCAAGUGCUCCAUUAUACAUGCAUCCCUUGUUAUUGAAUUGUUGAUUAUCUGUAGGAGGAAGAGACAAUUUUGCAUGAGAGAGACGGCUAUAAACUGGAAGAGGGACGUCUUAUACGUGAAUUGAAAAGGAUACGAGAUGAGGAUGAUUCAAGUUUUAAUAAUUUUCAGAUUUUAAAUCAUCAAUAUGCCCUUUUAAACCUUCUUGGGCAAGGAGGAUUUAGUGAGGUUUACAAGGUCCGAACUUCGGCAAGUAGUUUCAAUUGAUAAUAGAAAGUAGUUUCAUUUGAUAAUAGAAACACUAACCUUUGCUUGUUUGAUGAAAAUUCUUAUAUACCAUGACAAGAGUAUAGAUCAUUCUGUUGCCAAUAUUGACAAUUGUAAAAGCACAUCCUUUUGCAGUGAUUUGAAGUGAGAAAUUUCCGGCAGGCUUAUGAUUUGGUCGAGCAUAGGUAUGUUCCAUGAAGGUGCAGGGCAUCAUGUUUUAUCUGCUUUUGUUGAGAUUGUGUUGAUAAUUCCGACAAUCACAUCCCGGUAAUACUUCAUAACCUACUUCUUUUUCUUUUCUGAGGUAUGGAGUGUAAAUAAUGGUCCACAUCUUAUUACGAAAGAAGAAGGAUCCUGAAUUUUAUAUUUGUUUUUUUCUUCUUCUAACAUAUAAGCUUAUCUUUAUCUUUACAAAGCUUCUCCCACAAUGCUCCAGAAUUUCUUUUGAAUUAGUUGUUCUAUCAUGAGGCAUAAUUUUAUUUUAGUUCAGAAAGUCAAACUUUGGCCACCA
This is a long non-coding RNA of Populus nigra (black poplar), 2990 nucleotides long. RefSeq lists it as uncharacterized. Lineage: Eukaryota; Viridiplantae; Streptophyta; Magnoliopsida; Malpighiales; Salicaceae. The record is from RefSeq and is a predicted model, not a curated record. The transcript has 2 exons.